This is a long non-coding RNA of Halichondria panicea, 2913 nucleotides long. RefSeq lists it as uncharacterized. The record is from RefSeq and is a predicted model, not a curated record. The transcript has 2 exons. Lineage: Eukaryota; Metazoa; Porifera; Demospongiae; Suberitida; Halichondriidae.
ACUGCAAAAACACUUUUGUUAUUGUGACACAGUUUGCUACCGGCACAAAAUGUUAUCUUGACAAAACGUUUGUCAAUUUCCUGCAAUUAUUGUUAUAACGACAAAUCAUAGUUUAUUUAACUAUUAAUAUAGUUUAUCUAACUAUUAAUAUUUGUUAUUAUAAUGGUAGAUUGUUAUUUGAACACAUGUGUUGUCAUUUUGUCGAAGCGUUGUUGAUCUCACAUUUAGUGGAAGUUACCGUUCAUUGUCAAAUUAACAUUAUGUUGUGACAAUAACAAAUUAUAAAGUUACAGCUAGAACUCUACUAAAAGAUACGUGCAAGUUUGCAUCACUGAUUUCAACCUACUCAACCUAUACUCGAUUACCCUAGCUCGUAAUAAAUUGUCUACACUGAAGCAUCUCAGUUGCCCUGAUGCUUAUAUCUUUGCAUGCUCAUGUUCAAUUGUGUAUGUAGCAAUUGGAGACUUGUGACUGGGCAUGGUAAGUUACAGUGGCAGUGAAGAAGUCAGGAGCCUCCAGAGUCCUUCAGUGCAGUGCAGUGCAGGCAGCCUUCUCUCUAUAGCCGGCCUCCUUCACAAGGCCUGGCCUGAAGAGCGGCCUGGGAUCGAGCUUCUCUCUAGCCUCUAACUCUAGCUAGUCUCGAGGCCAGGAGAGUUUGGCCUCGAGACUAUAAUUAAGCUGGAACUAUAGGUGUGGCAUGAGGGGGCGUUCAGGAAUAACAGGGCAAGGCCUCAACAUACUUAGCACAUGGUGCUUGCAGCUGCACCAGACUGCAGCUGCUCAUGCAGCUUUAUACCAUCACUAGCGCGCACUGACUGCAUGCCUGUACCCCUGGCCCUGGGCUACCAUGUUCCAUGUACACCAGCUAGGAUCUAGGAGUCAAGAGUCACCUGCAUCUGCAGCUUGAAAGAAAAGACAAUUGCAAAUUUUCUUAAAGAGUAGAUAGUACCACCAUCUCAAAGAAAAAAGUUAAGUUCCAUUGCAUGCUGUUGGCGCAUGGCAUGUACAUGAUCCCAAAACUCUCUGAAUUCACAGUUUACACUGAAUCACUGCUAUACCGUAUCGGCGUAUAACUCCACCAUGUACCAGCUUCAAAGAAAAAGGAUUUAAGUUAUGUUGCUCAUUGCUAAAUAAAUGUGUUUACGUGUUUCUUCCAGCUGCAGAUUUUACCGUACCUCGGCCCCACAAUGUGUACCAGCUAGGAGUCUACUUAACAACCACCUUCAUCGACUUCAAAGAAACGACUUGCAAGUUAUGUCAGAUUCCAUAAAACUAUAUAGCUAGCUAGAGGGCAACUGUCCCUGGCCUGAUUUCGACCUUCAUCUGUAGCAUACUGAUUUACGAGUUUGUGUCUUCAUGCACUGGUUUUGACUGGUCAACUUCGUCCAUGGGGUGAUAGCUAGCAUACUGAUUUACGAGUUUGUGUGUAUGUGUCCUCAUGUGUCAGUUACACUGGUUUCGACUGGUCAACUUCGUCCAUGGGGUGAUAGCUAGCAUACUGAUUUACGAGUUUGUGUGUAUGUGUCCUUACGUGUCAGUUACACUGGUUUCGACUGGUCAACUUCGUCCAUGGGGUGAUAGCUAGCAUUGUAAUUUACCAGUUUGUGUGUAUGUGUCCUCAUGCGUCAGUUACACUGGUUUCGACUGGUCAACUUCGUCCAUGGGGUGAUAGCUAGCAUUGUAAUUUACCAGUUUGUGUGUAUGCGUCCUCAUGCGUCAGUUACACUGGUUUCGACUGGUCAACUUCGUCCAUGGGGUGAUAGCUAGCAUUGUAAUUUACCAGUUUGUGUGUAUGUGUCCUCACGCGUCAGUUACACUGGUUUCGACUGGUCAACUUCGUCCAUGGGGUGAUAGCUAGCAUUGUAAUUUACCAGUUUGUGUGUAUGUGUCCUCACGUGUCAGUUACACUGGUUUCGACUGGUCAACUUCGUCCAUGGGGUGAUAGCUAGCAUACUGAUUUACGAGUUUGUGUGUAUGUGUCCUCAUGCGUCAGUUACACUGGUUUCGACUGGUCAACUUCGUCCAUGGGGUGAUAGCUAGCAUUGUAAUUUACUAGUUUGUGUGUAUGUGUCCUCACGUGUCAGUUACACUGGUUUCGACUGGUCAACUUCGUCCAUGGGGUGAUAGCUAGCAUACUGAUUUACGAGUUUGUGUGUAUGUGUCCUCAUGUGUCAGUUACACUGGUUUCGACUGGUCAACUUCGUCCAUGGGAUGAUAGCUAGCAUACUGAUUUACGAGUUUGUGUGUAUGUGUCCUCAUGUGUCAGUUACACUGGUUUCGACUGGUCAACUUCGUCCAUGGGGUGAUCGAUAGCUAGCAUACUGAUUUACGAUUUUGUGUGUAUGUGUCCUCACGUGUCAGUUACACUGGUUUCGACUGGUCAACUUCGUCCAUGGGGUGAUAGCUAUAGCAUACUGAUUUACGAGUUUGUGUGUAUGUGUCCUCAUGUGUCAGUUACACUGGUCAACUUCGUCCAUGGGGUGAUAGCUAGCAUACUGAUUUACGAGUUUGUGUGUAUGUGUCCUCAUGCGUCAGUUACACUGGUUUCGACUGGUCAACUUCGUCCAUGGGGUGAUAGCUAGCAUUGUAAUUUACUAGUUUGUGUGUAUGUGUCCUCACGUGUCAGUUACACUGGUUUCGACUGGUCAACUUCGUCCAUGGGGUGAUAGCUAGCAUACUGAUUUACGAGUUUGUGUGUAUGUGUCCUCAUGUGUCAGUUACACUGGUUUCGACUGGUCAACUUCGUCCAUGGGAUGAUAGCUAGCAUACUGAUUUACGAGUUUGUGUGUAUGUGUCCUCAUGUGUCAGUUACACUGGUUUCGACUGGUCAACUUCGUCCAUGGGGUGAUCGAUAGCUAGCAUACUGAUUUACGAUUUUGUGUGUAUGUGUCCUCACGUGUCAGUUACACUGGU